CCCCUAGACGUUCUGGGCUGCACGCGCGCUACAAUAAUACGCACAGCGAGUAUCACCGAGCUCGAAAGGGUAAGGUAAACAAUAGAAAAGGUACUGUAAUGGUUAUAGAUCCUUGUAAUUAUUGAUCUUCAACGAGGAAUUCCUAGUAAGUAUGUGUCAUCAUCACGCACUGAUUACGUCCCUGCCCUUUGUACACACCGCCCGUCGCUCCUACCGAUUGGGUGAGCCGAUGAAACUCUCGGAUGUAGGCUAUUCAUAGCCCGCAGAAGAGAUUUGAAUCGUAGCGCUUAGAGGAAGGAGAAGUCGUAACA
Molecule: ribosomal RNA, 311 nt
Filed under: uncultured eukaryote
Lineage: Eukaryota
Description: partial 18S ribosomal RNA
Rfam family: Eukaryotic small subunit ribosomal RNA
Source: RNAcentral